Molecule: long non-coding RNA, 1790 nt
Organism: Helianthus annuus (common sunflower)
Lineage: Eukaryota; Viridiplantae; Streptophyta; Magnoliopsida; Asterales; Asteraceae
Exons: 8
Source: RefSeq, a predicted model, not a curated record
CUGGAUCGUUCAAAGAAGCCCUACUCUUUACAACAGGGGAUUUGUUCUAGAUCGUUCACCAUUCUGCUCUCUUGCUUGCUCUCGCCUCUUGCAACCAUUGCUGCUAUCAGGUUAGUAUCAAAUUAGUUUCCUUCUCUUUCGUCUUCUAGGUUUUCUGUUGAAGCUGGGUAUUAGGUUGAGAGGAACUGAAUUAGGGUUUGUAGAGUGUGUUUGACAAAAGAAACCAGCGGCUGCUAGACCCUUCGCCCGUCGACCAUCGGAAAAGCUGCACACCGCCGUCGUCGUCGAGACACUCACCGCCGCCGGCGUGAGGGGUGGCGGCUCUGCCUGCCGUCGCUGGAGAUCAUCGGAGGGGGGGGGUGUGAGUGUGGUUGUCACUGGAGAUGGUGGCCGACACCACCAUAGCGGCGCCGGUACCACAGAAACCCGCCGAUCACCGGUGUGAGAUCGAGAGAGAGCAGAGGGAAAUGGGGGUUUGGUGUGCGCAUAUUUGAUCUAGGGUUUUUGAAAUGAGGGGGUGCAAGUUAUAUAGAUCGAGUGUAUGCUAACAAGUUUGUUUCGUAUGUCUCAUCAUCAUAUUUUCUAAUUUCGGUUAGUUACAUAGCUCCACAUUUGUAGUGUCGAUUUAGAAAACAUACACCAUAUCGAUAUCACUCAUUUUAGAGCACCCGAUAUCUUAUCCGAAUAAGAUGCUCUCAAAAGUCAAAAGGAAUACUUCACUGGUUGAAGUAUAAGGCAAAACAAACCCAAAUUUAGGUCAUAAUUCAUAAACUCAUAAUGGGUUGAAGGUAACCUGUUGGGUCAUAGUGGGUCUUUUUCAAUGGGUCUGUAUGGGUUCAAUUGAGAGAGUUGAAUACUUGAAUAUGACUAAGGAUUAACAAUGGUCUGGAACUCACAGGAUACAUUCAAAAAAGAAAAAAAGAACACAGCAUGUAUGGUAUAUCAAUAUAUCAUAUCAAUCGUAAAAGAUAUGAUUGUUCUUAUUUUUUCAAUUAUUGUUUUAGAUCUUCUCGAGUCAAAGAUGGGGCCUAUGGAUAUUGUUGGUAAGACCAAAGAGGAUGCUUCGUUACCGAAAGAUUCAUUUGCAGUGUUUUUAUUUUUUAAAAGUUCGGUGACCCAGUUCGGCGGCUAGGGUUUAGUCAGAGUUUUCCCAACGAUUGAGUCAAAUCAACCACAUACAUUUGUUGUUGUUACCCUUGAUCCACCUAUCCGUAAGGGUCAAACUAUGUAUCGUUGCAGUUUGAAACAGAUUAUGUGGUGGAAAGCACAUUGACCAUGAAUGAAGAUCUUUUCGCUACCAAAUACAAGGACAAGCUAGAGCCAACUUAUAAGGGACUGAUUUAUGAAGUGUUACAAUGGUAUUGAGAGGCUUAUCAGGCACAAAACUCACAAGUCCCGGAAAAUUCCGUAGCUGUCAAGACGGUUACGCUGUGAAGUCAUCGUUAAAAGCCGAAGAUGGCGUUCUUUAUCCGCUUGAAAAGAGCUUUUUCUUCUUACCAAAACCACCUACUCUUAUUCUAUACGAUGAGAUGGCAAAAUAUUCCAAGUGCAAGUUGGAAUUCAGCAAGUGUCAAAGGAAGGAUAUAGGGUAUCUUUGGCAAAAGUAUUUGGUCGCAAAAGAAGAGUUCGGUGAUGAAGAGGUGAACUGUGAAUCUUCACCGGAACAGGCUGCAAAUUUUUUAUUUUGGUUUUGCUCGAUCCACUUUAGAUGAAGAAAGCCAAGAAUGCGAUCUUGAACCAACGCUACGUAGCGCGCCGCAACGCGCGCAGGGUAUAAACCUAGUAGUAUA